Non-coding RNA from Salmo salar (Atlantic salmon), 2337 nucleotides. NCBI's taxonomy places the organism in Eukaryota, Metazoa, Chordata, Actinopteri, Salmoniformes, Salmonidae. The record is from RefSeq and is a predicted model, not a curated record.
UUUGUUCCAGUGAUCCUCCGGCGAUGCUGUAGGAUCCGUCAUCUUGGAAUCAGCAGCUGUUCGAGAGCGUCAUGGGGUGGAAAAACAAUUUAGAGAAAGGGACCUACGCCCUCUACUGGUUCACACGGUUGGUGAUGGGGAAUGCGGCGGGGGGAAUAGAGCAGGCAGAUGGCAGGGAGGCCAAGCACUCUGUGGGCUCAGGAACGGGCCUGAGUGACCCCACCCCGACCCUGCAGAAGAAGCAGCCUGCUCCCCCCAAGCUGCCCGUGCCCCCAGAGGAGGAGCUGGAGGAGCGCUUCAGUGUGGUGCUGAGCUAUAUGAACUUGCCUCCAGACAAGCUGAAUCUUUUGAGUCAGUAUGACAAUGAGAAGAAGUGGGAGCUGAUCUGUGAUCAGGAGCGGUUCCAGGUGAAGAACCCUCCCUCUACCUAUCUGACCAAGAUCAAGAGCUUCUAUCAGGACCAAGGAGGAGUGACCCGCAGGUUCAAGAGGCGGGUCCAGGAGUCCACCCAGGUAUUGAGAGAGCUGGAGAUCUCCCUCCGCACUAAUCAUAUUGGCUGGGCCCAGGAGUUUCUGAAUGAGGAGAACCAGGGUUUGGAUGUAUUGGUGGAUUACCUGUCCUACGCCCAGUGUGACGCUUCGUUUGACCUGGAGGGUGCUGAGAAUGGGGGAACACUGUCAGAGAGAGGGAAGCCAGCGGAGAGGUCCAUGGAGGACCUGAAUAAGAGUGCAGGAAGCUCCCCUACACACGGCAUGACCAGAGCAGCCCGCGCCCUGACCGUACGAAUAACCUCUCUGGCCCAGAGUAGGAAAACUCAGAAGAUCUCUCGAUUGGCCAGUCAGAGGGACGACGUCCAUGUGUGCAUCAUGUGUCUGCGUGCCAUCAUGAACUACCAGUCGGGCUUCAACCAAGUUAUGACUCACCCACGCUGCGUCAACGAGAUCACUCUCAGUCUCAACAACAAGAACCCCAGAACCAAAGCCCUGGUGUUGGAGCUGUUGGCUGCUGUGUGUCUUGUGAGGGGCGGUCAUGACAUCAUUCUCGCCGCCUUCGACAACCUCAAGGAGGUGAGCGGAGAGAAGAACCGCUUUGAGAAACUGAUGGAGUACUUUAGCAAUGAUGACAGCAACAUUGACUUCAUGGUGGCCUGCAUGCAGUUCAUUAACAUUGUGGUGCAUUCGGUGGAGAAUAUGAACUUCCGUGUGCACCUGCAAUAUGAGUUCACUCACCACGGACUGGACCAGUACUUAGAGUCUCUGAAGCUGACAGAGAGUGAGAAGCUGCAGGUUCAGAUUCAGGCCUACCUGGACAACGUGUUUGAUGUGGGGGCUCUGCUGGAGGACGCAGAGAACAGGGGCGGGGUGCUGGAGCAUGUGGAUGAACUGCAGGAGCAUAACUCACAGCUGAGUGCCAGGCUAGAGGAGAUUGAGAGCCAGUCUGCAGAGAGGAUGGCUGAACUGGAGAAACAGCUCCUCCAAGCCACCAAGGAGACAGAGCUGCUCAAGGAGAGCCUGCGGGACUCCUGUUCCCAGGUCAGUUCUCUGCAGCAGAGAGAGAGGGAGAGGGAGAUGAGCCAGGAGAGGGAGCGGGACAGAGAGCGUCUCAGCCAGCCCUCCUCUGAGCUGGAACUCAAGGUGCAGGAGCUGCAGGACCGAGGGCUGAUCCGCCUGGGACGCACCCCCUCUGGGGCCCUAGACCUCCAGGUGGUGCCUGUCACCAUCAUCGAGUACGCCCCCGCCCCAGCCUCUGAGUGCCUGCUCAGCUCCACUGGACCCACUGCCCCUGGCCCAGAAGUCCCCGAUGCCACUCCCUCCUCAGCCAUCUCUGCUGUCCCCCCUCCUCCUCCUCCUCCCCCCCCGCCUCCUGGGCCUGGUGGACGUGCUCCCCCACCUCCUCCUCCUUCCCCCGUGUGGCUCCGGUGGCCCACCUCCCCCUCCUCCUCCCCCUCCUCCAGGGGGAGGUCCGCCCCCACCUCCUCCCCCACCCGGCGGUGGACCUCCGCCCCCACCCGGAGGCCCACCUUCUGGAGACAGCCAAGCCGGAGGUAAAAGCAGGAAACCCAUCCAGACUAAGUUCCGGAUGCCUUUGCUCAACUGGCAGGCACUGAAGCCCAACCAGGUGACUGGCACGGUCUUCCACGAGCUGGACGACGAGCAGGUCUUAGGGGAGCUGAACAUGGAUGCGUUUGAAGAGCAGUUUAAGACCAAGGCCCAGGGUCCUCCAGCAGCUCUGUCCACUCUUAAGGUCAAGGUGGCCCAGAAGGCCCCCAGCAAGGUCAACCUGAUCGAGGGCAACAAGGCCAAGAACCUGGCCAUCACGCUACGCAAGGGAGGCAGG